RNAcentral lists this ribosomal RNA (253 nucleotides) under uncultured bacterium. RNAcentral describes it as "partial 16S ribosomal RNA". It matches the Rfam family "Bacterial small subunit ribosomal RNA", at positions 524 to 776 of the family's 1533-position model. The record is from RNAcentral.
GACAGAGGCCACGAACGUUGUUCGGAAUCACUGGGCAUAAAGCGCACGUAGGCGGCUAGGUCCGUCCGAUGUGAAAGCCCCCGGCUCAACCGGGGAAUAGCAUCGGAUACAGCCUGGCUUGAGGACGGUUGGGGUGAGUGGAACUCCUGGUGGAGCGGUGAAAUGCGUAGAUAUCAGGAGGAACACCGGUGGCGAAAGCGGCUCACUGGACCGUUUCUGACGCUGAGGUGCGAAAGCGUGGGGAGCGAACAGG